GCCCCUAUAGCUUAACUCCAAAGCAUGGCACUGAAGAUGCCAAGAUGGUGCAAACCCACCUGAGGGC
RNAcentral lists this transfer RNA (67 nucleotides) under Arborophila rufogularis. RNAcentral describes it as "tRNA-Phe". It matches the Rfam family "tRNA". Rfam says of the family: Transfer RNA (tRNA) molecules are approximately 80 nucleotides in length. Their secondary structure includes four short double-helical elements and three loops (D, anti-codon, and T loops). Lineage: Eukaryota; Metazoa; Chordata; Aves; Galliformes; Phasianidae. The record is from RNAcentral.